UAACGGGUCCGAUGAAAAGGGAAACAGGUGAAAAUCCUGUACGAUCUCGUCACCGUGAUAAAUGAGCAGAGGGAAAUAUGCCACUGAGGAAUCGGGAAGGCUCCUUUCUGUGAUGAAGUUUAAGUCGGGAGACCUGCCUGCUGUUU
RNAcentral lists this non-coding RNA (146 nucleotides) under human gut metagenome. The record is from RNAcentral.